Molecule: ribosomal RNA, 449 nt
Filed under: uncultured bacterium
Lineage: Bacteria
Description: partial 16S ribosomal RNA
Rfam family: Bacterial small subunit ribosomal RNA
Source: RNAcentral
AGCGAACAUUGGCGGUAGGCUUAACACAUGCAAGUCGAGCGAGGCGUAAUAGUCGAGCGGCGAACGGGUGAGUAACACAUGGGAAUCUACCCUGAAGUGGGGGAUAACGUUCAGAAAUGAACGCUAAUACCGCAUAAUCCACAUUGGGAAAGCGUUGCAGCGCUUUAGGAUGAGCCUAUGGUUGAUUAGCUAGUUGGUGAGGUAAUGGCUCACCAAGGCGACGAUCGGUAGCUGGUCUGAGAGGAUGAUCAGCCACACUGGGACUGAGACACGGCCCAGACUCCUACGGAGGCAGCAGUGGGGAAUAUUGGACAAUGGGCGCAAGCCUGAUCCAGCCAUGCCGCGUGAGUGAUGAAGGCCCUAGGGUUGUAAAGCUCUUUCGCCAGGGACGAUAAUGACGGUACCUGGAUAAGAAGCCCCGGCUAACUUCGUGCCAGCCGCCGCCGUAA